UUGAACGCUGGCGGCAGGCCUAACACAUGCAAGUCGAGCGGCAGCGCGGGGCAACCUGGCGGCGAGCGGCGGACGGGUGAGUAACGCGUAGGAAUCUACCCAGUAGCGGGGGAUAGCCCGGGGAAACUCGGAUUAAUACCGCAUACGCCCUAAGGGGGAAAGCGGGGUCGCAAGACCUCGCACGAUUGGAAGAGCCUGCGUUGGAUUAGCUAGUUGGUAGGGUAAAGGCCUACCAAGGCAACGAUCCAUAACUGGUCUGAGAGGAUGAUCAGGCACACCGGAACUGAGACACGGUCCGGACUCCUACGGGAGGCAGCAGUGGGGAAUAUUGGACAAUGGGGGCAACCCUGAUCCAGCCAUGCCGCGUGUGUGAAGAAGGCCUUCGGGUUGUAAAGCACUUUAAGUGGGGAGAAAGGUUCGUCGGUUAAUACCCGGCGGAAUUGAUGUUACCCACAGAAUAAGCACCGGCUAACUCUGUGCCAGCCGCCGCGGUAA
RNAcentral lists this ribosomal RNA (495 nucleotides) under uncultured bacterium. RNAcentral describes it as "partial 16S ribosomal RNA". It matches the Rfam family "Bacterial small subunit ribosomal RNA", at positions 29 to 523 of the family's 1533-position model. The record is from RNAcentral.